Molecule: ribosomal RNA, 524 nt
Filed under: uncultured bacterium
Lineage: Bacteria
Description: bacterial SSU rRNA
Rfam family: Bacterial small subunit ribosomal RNA
Source: RNAcentral
AGAGUUUGAUCAUGGCUCAGAAUGAACGCUGGCGGCGUGCUUAACACAUGCAAGUCGAACGGUAACAGGAAGUACUUGUACUUUGCUGACGAGUGGCGCACGGGUGAGUAAUAUAUAGGUUACGUGCCCCUUAGUCUGGGAUAGCCACUGGAAACGGUGAUUAAUACUGGAUAUUCCUGCUUGCAGGGAAAGGUUUUUCGCUAAGGGAUCGGCUUAUACUGUAUCAGCUAGUUGGUGAGGUAAUGGCUCACCAAGGCGAUGACACAUAGCGGGUUUGAGAGGAUGAUCCGCCACACUGGUACUGAGACACGGACCAGACUCCUACGGGAGGCAGCAGUGAGGAAUAUUGCACAAUGGGGGAAACCCUGAUGCAGCAACGCCGCGUGGAGGAUGACGCAUUUCGGUGUGUAAACUCCUUUUAUCAGAGAAGAACAUGACGGUAUCUGAUGAAUAAGCUCCGGCUAACUCCGUGCCAGCAGCCGCGGUAAUACGGAGGGAGCAAGCGUUAUUCGGAAUCACUGGGC